Molecule: long non-coding RNA, 240 nt
Filed under: Capsicum annuum
Lineage: Eukaryota; Viridiplantae; Streptophyta; Magnoliopsida; Solanales; Solanaceae
Description: long non-coding RNA (CANN_LNC014602)
Source: RNAcentral
UACAGGCUACUUCAGUUCUUACUUUAUGCAUGGCCAUGCAUUUUUAGUCUUUAUAGUUUUCAUGCAUUGUUACUCAAUACCUCAUGCUAUACAUUCAAUCAGUUAUUACUUAUGAACAUAAACUCGUGCAUAUCAGCCUAACCUCAUUUAGUAUACCUGUACAUUCAAAAGUACUGAUCGCAUACUCUUUUCUUGUGCUAUGAUUGUCUUAUAUCAUAGGUUCAGACACUCGAAUCCCCC